This 174-nucleotide microRNA precursor is filed under the name Oryza meridionalis. Its description in RNAcentral is "MIR812 microRNA precursor family". It matches the Rfam family "MIR812 microRNA precursor family". Lineage: Eukaryota; Viridiplantae; Streptophyta; Magnoliopsida; Poales; Poaceae. The record is from Rfam by way of RNAcentral.
UUUAAACGCAACCAUAAAUUUUCGCGUCCAUCUUAUUUGAAUUUUUUAAUACUAUUUUUUUUGUUAUUAGAUGAUAAAACAUAAAUAGUGCUUUAUGUGUGACUUAUGUUUUUUAAUUUUUUUAAAUAAGAUGGCGAUUAAAAUUGAACACGAAAACUUAUGACUACACUUAAG